RNAcentral lists this long non-coding RNA (536 nucleotides) under Parus major (Great Tit). RNAcentral describes it as "lncRNA (ENSPMJG00000017227.1)". Lineage: Eukaryota; Metazoa; Chordata; Aves; Passeriformes; Paridae. The record is from RNAcentral.
GGAAAUUCUGUGGAACUUCUAUAAAAAAAAUUUGAUGAAGCUGGUGCCAGAAGAGCCUGGAACUAAUCCCAUGGUGACUGUGCAUGGAUGGCAGCAGAGUCAAGCACAUUCUUUCCCCACACACACAAACAAUCCAGGCUCAUCCUGGUGAUUCACUCAAAGAGAUAGUACCAUCUCAUGUCAGUGAUGGAAGAUCAUAAGUAUGCUAAAACUGAUUAAACCAAACUCUGGAGAAGUGCCUCUGAUCCUAGAAGAGCAUCUGAACUGCCUGAAGGACUUUGGUUGAAUACUGCUCAUCAUGGAGUGACUUAGCUCCUCUAGCCUUGAAGGACUUGGAGCAUCUGGCUCAUGUACUCAGGAAACAGUUUCUAUAUUUCUCCCGGCCCACAAGGUUCAGUGAAACUCAAACCAAAGCUCUGGAUGUUGUAGGAAUUCCUUGGAGAAAUUGUGCACUAGUUAUGAAUCUGUGGUGCAUUGGCAGCUGUGUAAGCAAGGAAAAAAUCAGCCCUGCAAGCUUUGAAUCAAGACCAUUUUGA